This is a long non-coding RNA of Micropterus dolomieu (smallmouth bass), 379 nucleotides long. RefSeq lists it as uncharacterized. The transcript has 3 exons. Lineage: Eukaryota; Metazoa; Chordata; Actinopteri; Centrarchiformes; Centrarchidae. The record is from RefSeq and is a predicted model, not a curated record.
GGUAUCCUAGCGCCAAGCCCGACGCAAUGAUAAAUGACGUUGUAUACGGUGCUUGCUUCGCGUAAAAUUAAGAUUGUAUCGCCUCUAUUCAGGUAACGUUAAGACUUUCAUACUGCAAGACUUGUCUUUGAGAAAAUGACAAAGUAAAGUCGCUUACUCUGCCUGUCAAUUCGCUCGAGCAACAAAUCGGGAACGAAAUGUGCAUUUGGGGUGAGUGAAUCGAUUACAGGUGUGAAUAUGUUUGGAGCUCCGGUGGAUUUAUCUUUUAAACACAUCAGCAGUUUGGCAGACACAUGGAUAGAGGAACCCAGCAGCGGUCUGCGGCCUUCAAAGACAAAUUCAGAGAUGAAGUACCUAAGUCGCUCCCUGCGUCUUAAUA